GACGAACGCUGGCGGCGUGCUUAACACAUGCAAGUCGAACGGGAUGAUUUAGAAGCUUGCUUUUAGAGAAUCUAGUGGCAAACGGGUGAGUAACACGUAGGCAACCUGCCGACAGGAUGGGGACAACAUUCCGAAAGGAAUGCUAAUACCGAAUGAAGCGCAGGAGAGGCAUCUCUCCUGCGUGAAAGAUGGCCUCUAUUUAUAAGCUAUCACCUGUCUAUGGGUCUGCGUCUGAUUAGCUGGUUGGUGAGGUAACGGCUCACCAAGGCGACGAUCAGUAGCCGGUCUGAGAGGAUGAACGGCCACAUUGGGACUGAGACACGGCCCAGACUCCUACGGGAGGCAGCAGUGGGGAAUCUUCCGCAAUGGGCGCAAGCCUGACGGAGCAACGCCGCGUGAGUGAAGAAGGUCUUCGGAUCGUAAAGCUCUGUUGAUGGGGACGAACGUGCGAAGGGUGAAUAAACCUUUGUAAUGACGGUACCUGUCGAGGAAGCCACGGCUAACUACGUG
This 510-nucleotide ribosomal RNA is filed under the name uncultured bacterium. RNAcentral describes it as "partial 16S ribosomal RNA". It matches the Rfam family "Bacterial small subunit ribosomal RNA", at positions 28 to 507 of the family's 1533-position model. The record is from RNAcentral.